RNAcentral lists this ribosomal RNA (254 nucleotides) under uncultured bacterium. RNAcentral's name for it is "partial 16S ribosomal RNA". It matches the Rfam family "Bacterial small subunit ribosomal RNA", at positions 524 to 776 of the family's 1533-position model. The record is from RNAcentral.
UACGAGGGGGGCAAGCGUUGUUCGGAUUUACUGGGCGUAAAGGGCGCGUAGGCGGUCAGCACAAGUCAGUUGUGAAAUCUCCGGGCUUAACUCGGAAAGGUCAACUGAUACUGUGCGACUAGAGUGCAGAAGGGGCAACUGGAAUUCUCGGUGUAGCGGUGAAAUGCGUAGAUAUCGAGAGGAACACCUGCGGCGAAGGCGGGUUGCUGGGCUGACACUGACGCUGAUGCGCGAAAGCCAGGGGAGCGAACGGG